This is a long non-coding RNA of Apis florea (little honeybee), 679 nucleotides long. The record is from RefSeq and is a predicted model, not a curated record. Lineage: Eukaryota; Metazoa; Arthropoda; Insecta; Hymenoptera; Apidae.
GAAAGAUGGAAUGGAGAAGAAAGUGAAUAUUUAGCUCAAAGACGAAUCUUUCUUUUCUACUUUCGAACGACGGUGAAUAAAAUACGAUAGAGAAUAAGAAAUACGAUUUUUCGAUGAAAAUUGGUGUACAAAAACGGAUGAUGAUCGAAUAAAAGUUGCCUCGACAAGCCUCGAUAGCGAAAAAAAUUAUCUUUGGUCAGAGAGAUCUAUCUCUUUCCUUUGCUUUUCUUCAAAAUUUUCUCGCUUCUUCUUUAACCGUUUACACACGCCGUAUCGACGCGUCGAAUCGACGAAAGAGAAAAGAAUACAUUAAAUAUAUACAUAUAUACGCGUUUAAAUAAUUUUCUUUUUUAAAUAUCGCACCAAUAUAAAAAAAUAUUAUUAAAUACGAACACGAUCGUCGAAAAUCGUUCGAGAAGAAAUAUGUAUAUCGAAUUUUCUUCUGAAACAUGCAAAACCGAGAAGAGGAGAAAGAACCGAAAGCGAUUCGCGUCAAGCGUAGCGGCUCUGUAAACGAUUAAACUCUCUCUGCGUUCUCUAAUCAUUCACAGGCAAUCCAUUGUGUUCGUAUCUGUGUGUACGUUAUGUGUAUUUGCGUGUGUUCGGUCAUUAGGCGAAAGAAAAGAAUAAUUAAUCGAAGGGGAUAAAGAGAAAAGUGCGAAGAAAGAAUAAAGUGAAA